This 664-nucleotide ribosomal RNA is filed under the name uncultured bacterium. RNAcentral's name for it is "bacterial SSU rRNA". It matches the Rfam family "Bacterial small subunit ribosomal RNA", at positions 126 to 807 of the family's 1533-position model. The record is from RNAcentral.
CUGCCUCAUACAGGGGGAUAACAGUUAGAAAUGACUGCUAAAACCGCAUAAGCGCACAUUGUCGAGUGACAGAGUGUGAAAAACUCCGGUGGUAUGAGAUGGACCCGCGUCUGAUUAGCUAGUUGGUGAGGUAACGGCCCACCAAGGCGACGAUCAGUAGCCGGCCUGAGAGGGCGACCGGCCACAUUGGGACUGAGACACGGCCCAAACUCCUACGGGAGGCAGCAGUGGGGAAUAUUGCACAAUGGGGGAAACCCUGAUGCAGCGACGCCGCGUGAGUGAAGAAGUAUUUCGGUAUGUAAAGCUCUAUCAGCAGGGAAGAAGAAAGACGGUACCUGACUAAGAAGCCCCGGCUAACUACGUGCCAGCAGCCGCGGUAAUACGUAGGGGGCAAGCGUUAUCCGGAUUUACUGGGUGUAAAGGGAGCGUAGACGGCUGUGCAAGUCUGAAGUGAAAGCCCAGGGCUCAACCCUGGGACUGCUUUGGAAACUGUGGAGCUAGAGUGCUGGAGAGGUAAGCGGAAUUCCUAGUGUAGCGGUGAAAUGCGUAGAUAUUAGGAGGAACACCAGUGGCGAAGGCGGCUUACUGGACAGUAACUGACGUUGAGGCUCGAAAGCGUGGGGAGCAAACAGGAUUAGAUACCCUGGUAGUCCACGCGGUAAAC